This 450-nucleotide ribosomal RNA is filed under the name uncultured Gigaspora. RNAcentral describes it as "SSU rRNA". It matches the Rfam family "Eukaryotic small subunit ribosomal RNA", at positions 569 to 1026 of the family's 1831-position model. Lineage: Eukaryota; Fungi; Glomeromycota; Glomeromycetes; Diversisporales; Gigasporaceae. The record is from RNAcentral.
AGCAGCCGCGGUAAUUCCAGCUCCAAUAGCGUAUAUUAAAGUUGUUGCAGUUAAAAAGCUCGUAGUUGAAUUUCGGGGUUCUACCGUUGGUCGGGCUAUUGUCUGUACUGGUGUGUAGAAUUUCUACCUUCUGGGGAACCAUCAUGUUAUUAAUUUAGCGUGGUGGGAAACCAGGACCUUUACCUUGAAAAAAUUAGAGUGUUCAAAGCAGGCUUACGUCUGAAUACAUUAGCAUGGAAUAAUAAAAUAGGACGGUGGUCCUGUUUUGUUGGUUUCUGAAUCACCGUAAUGAUUAAUAGGGAUAGUUGGGGGCAUUAGUAUUCAAUUGUCAGAGGUGAAAUUCUUGGAUUUAUUGAAGACUAACUUCUGCGAAAGCAUUUGCCAAGGAUGUUUUCAUUAAUCAAGAACGAAAGUUAGGGGAUCGAAGACGAUCAGAUACCGUCGUAGUCU